This 217-nucleotide unclassified non-coding RNA is filed under the name Hevea brasiliensis (rubber tree). Lineage: Eukaryota; Viridiplantae; Streptophyta; Magnoliopsida; Malpighiales; Euphorbiaceae. The record is from RNAcentral.
UUCUAGCUCUAACUUGCUAUAUUCUUCCAGCACCUUCCAGGUCCGAAAAUACUAAUACUAUAUAACACCUAUCAACACAAAAAAAACUAGCAACAAAAAAUCCAAGAACUAGACCUAGCAGUAUCUGUCAGCCAGAGAGAGGAAAAGAAAAUGAAACCCAUCGACGACAAGAAGGACAAAAUGGUAACAAGGGCAGUGUCCCGCGAUGAAGAAGGGA